This 35252-nucleotide long non-coding RNA is filed under the name Phoenix dactylifera (date palm). RNAcentral describes it as "long non-coding RNA (PDAC_LNC001052)". The record is from RNAcentral. Lineage: Eukaryota; Viridiplantae; Streptophyta; Magnoliopsida; Arecales; Arecaceae.
UUGUGUUUGAGGUCCGAGAAGUUCGAGUUCGUAUUUCAGAAAAAAGUCUGAGUGAGUUGCUUCAUCUUCCCUAUGAGGGUGCCACACCAAAAAAACCAGAGCAUAAGAUGAGAGUCCUACAGCUGGUUUUAGAGAGAGAUGACUUUGAUUAUUUAGAAAAUUUAGUAGCUAGCUCCCUAUCAGCUGAGAUGAGGUUCUUGCAUAACUUCAUAGGUCGGAUACUGUUUCCGAAAAGUGGAAGAUUUGAUCAUGUAUCUAAGCGUGCGAUUUGGCCAUUAUGGAGCAUGUCAUUCAGGGUAUACCCCUGAAUCUUCCAGCCAUGAUCAUUAGGCAGAUGCGUGAGGCCAUAUGCAGAUUGAGAGCAUCCUUGCCCUAUGGUAUGGUACUCACCUUAAUUUUCAAUCAUAAUGACAUAUCUGUAGAGGGAGAGAUAUCCAGAGAUUUGUUAUUUACCGACACCUACACUUCACGAUCCCUAGUGCGCAUGGGUUAUGAGAAGGUGGACGGUCAGUGGGUGCGUGGAGGUGUAGGGGCACAUGCACCGGAGGCUGAUGCACCAGAGCUUGGAGACUCUAUCCCUCAGCCUGAGAUACCUGCGAAUCACCCUACAGCACAUUCAGAGGCAGGACCUUCAUCAUCCACACCUGCGGGAUGUACAGAAGAAUACUGGAGUAGGAUGACUGAGCUUGUGUCAGCUCAGGUGAGGAUUCUCUAUAAUAGCAUGAUGAGCAGAAUGGACAGUAUGAUACUGAGAUUAGAGGAUUAUCUGCUCAGCUGACAGGCCUCACAGACCGGAUGACAGCAUUAGAGAGAGAGGUUCAUGGUCCAUAUGUGCCCCGAGCAGCUGAGUCAGAGGUUUCGGCACAGAGUCACCCAGUUCACAGAGCCCCACGACAGACUCAGUCUCAUCAGGCCAGACCUUCCCUCGCCACUUAUGCUAGGAGGAUGAGGACUAGAUCACAGCCACUAGACUCCCCCUAGGCCCGAUGAUAGCACUACAGGAGCACAUCAUGAUUAGUGCCUAGGAUCUAUCUAGUAUUCAUAUGCAUUUUAUCUUGUUGAUGUAUUUUGCAUCUAAUUUGAUAAACAUUGUACUUUUGACAUCCAUGUACUACAAUAUUUCAUUUUGAUCAAUGGUAUUUAGAUUUUAUCAUUUAUUGCUAUACAUUUUGAUGAUAACAAAAAGGGGAAGAAGUAAGAAAAGAGAGAAGUUGCAAUAUAGGGGAGCAAUGUAGAAAUAAAUAGGAAGAAAAUAUAUUCACUUAAGGGGGAGAUAUGUGCAACAAUGAAAAUUUUCUACACCUUCAAAUUUCAAAACAAGAAAAUCUGAAUUUUUAAGCAAAAUUUCUGAAUUUGGCACAUACACCUCAUGCCUCGAUACAUAACUUGAAAAUCCUGUUUUAUCUCAAACUCUUGAAGUUCCAUCUUUCUUAAAAUACAAGUGUAAUGGGGAGAAAAUCAAAUGUUCAAAUUGGCAAUAUUUGGAUGAAGGAGGGGGAGCUUUCACUUUCAUAUUUAGAAAAGCUGAAAUUCAGCGACUUAAGUUUUUUCCAAAUCAAAACCCUUAAUUUUGAUACAAGAGUCAAUUUGCCAAUACUCAAUGUUUUGUAAUCAUCAAAAAGAAGGAGAUUGAGAAUAAUAGUGUUAUUUCGAUGAUUAACACAACAAUUGAGGGAAUAUCAAAUUAAUAAUAUAGCUUAACUUGAUACACCACUAAUGAAUACCACACUCCUGAUACAUUGAAAGAAUGAGAUUAAGACGACUCCCAAUGAUUAACAACGAGAUAAAAAUGUUAGAGAGCUUUUAAAUCUAAUUCGGCAAAGUUUCAAGUGAAAUAUAUUUUUAAGGGCAAAACAGUAAUUUUCAUUGUUAAGGGUAUGAAGUUCUACCGUGGCAUACACUCAAAAUUAUUUGAAAUAUAUUCCAUUGAUUGUAUGAAUCAGUCUAACCUUAAGAUGUAGAAAAUUGUGAGUUGAGUCGACCCGAGAAGAAGUAGAGUUGACUUUGGCACAUUUUGGAACCAUCUGGCACAUCCUUGAAAAAAUGGCUCAGAUGAACAACAAGUGGAGCCCACCCCCAAUGGAGCCGACCCUAGUGGAGCCAACCCCAGGAUAAGUGUUCAAAAAUCAUGUCUCUGGAAUCUCUGAGAAGGUCGACCCCAAUGGAACUUGAGUCGACCCCACUGUAGCACGGGUCGACCCCAAGAAAGUAUGAGUCGACCCUAGUGAAAAUGCCAAAAAAAAUAAAAUUUCUGUGGUUUCUGAGAAGGCCGACCCCACUGUAGUAGGGGUCGACCCCAAAGAAGCUUGAGUCGACCCCUGAGAAGGUUGAGUCGACCCCAAGGCUGAUGAACAGUAACUUGAGUCGACCCCAGCAGGGAAAGGAGCAUAACGGCUAGUUCUGUAGAAGUACUUUUUAAGCUUCCAACGGCUAGAAAUGGCUAGUAUUUCAAAUCUAAUGAAUGGAAAGUGACCAAUAGAGGUUGAGAGAUAUUUAAGAGACACUAUUCAUCAGAGGAAAAUAUCCUUUUGCAAGAAAUCAAUAGAGCAUUCAAGUUAAAGCAAGCCCUAGCAUUCUUCAUCAAGUUGCUUCAUUCAAAUCCCAAAAGAAGGUGGUUGAGCAAUCUGAAAGCGCAUUCAACAGCUUCACCAACCCAUUGUGAAGUGAAGUAACCUGAGCAAAGAAGAGAAGAGCAUCCCAAAGCGAUAACUAUCUCUCAUCUCUUCUUUGAGUUCAUAUUUAUUAUAUUUGCUCAUUUAGGAGCUUCAAACUUCUUUUCUUUUUAAAUCUCUUGUAAGAUUGGUUGGUGAGCUCGUAAAACCAAUGGUGUAGGUUGUUGGUGAGCCCGCAAAACUAACAUAGAUUUUUGGUGAUCUCGGAAAAUCAAAGUGUAAAGGUUUUUAGAUUGUGAGCCCGAAAAACAAUCCAACUGUAAUCCACGGGAUUAUAGUGAAUUUCCAAAGGGACGCUUGAGGAGUGGAUGUAGGUGCUUAGAAGAGCACCGAACCACUAUAUUUCUUGUGUGUUUGCCUUGAGUGUCUUACUAACUUCACUACACGCACUUAAUUAGUAUUAACUAAAUUACCCAUUCAUCUAUCAAAUUGAUUAAGGGAUUAAAAAUUUAGGAAACCCAAUUCACCCCCCCUCUUGGCUUGUCGACCAUAAUCUUAUCAAAUUUGCGAUACUAUUAUCUUGGAGACUGCUUGAGACCAUAUAAUGAUCUCUUGAGCAAACAUAUAUGAUCUUCCUUGUCUGGAACCUCAAAACCAGGUGGGUGUUGCAUAUAAAUCUGUUCCUUUAAAUCACCGUGAAAAAAAGCUGUUUUAACAUCUAGCUGUUCCGGCUCUAAAUUCUGAGAAACAACUAAAGCAAGCAACACACGGAUAGAAGAGUGUUUGACUACAUGAGAAAAUAUCUCCUUGUAGUCAAUUUCCUACUGUUGACUAUAGCCCUUAGCUACCAACCUGGCCUUUUAUCUAAAAUCCUGAGGACUGACUCCCUCCUUUUUCUUGAAGAUCUAUUUGCAGCCAAUUACCUUAUUGUCCUCUGGUAAUCUGACUAAUUUCCAAGUCUGAUUCUUCUCUAAAGAUUGUAGUUCUUCAACCAUAGCCACGGUCUAUUGUUCAGCCUGUGAACUAUUAAUAGCCUCCUGAUAUGUGGUCGGCUCAUCACCAAUAAUGUCUGCAAUGCUCAGAGCAUAAUAAACUAACCCAGCACAAGCUGAAUCCUCAAAGCCAUACCUUUGUGGUGUUCUGAUCUGACGCCUAGGUCUACGAGUGGCAAUGCUAUCAAUCUGAUCCUGACCUUGCAUGGUAACCUCCUCCUGAGUCUGUAUCUCUGCAUCUGUCAGGUGUUGCUGAAAAUUUAGAAUAAAAGUAUCUUCAUUUGCCUGCUGCUGCUGUGAUCUGAUAGUUUGGUCAAUAUUCAUAACAGUCCUAUCCAUCUGAUUCUGAUCCUGAUCUCUCUGAGAAGAACUAGGAUGUAGCUGCCUUAAAGAAGUGGCUAUCUCAUGAAAUGUCAUAUCCCUACUGAAUAAAAAUUCUUGGGAUCCAGGCUCUGUGCACCAUAGUCUGUAGCUUUUUACCCUAUAUGCGUAUCCAAGAAAUACGCACUUCUUAGCCUUGGGGUCCAAAGACUCUGAGUACUAAAUAGUCUGCAGGUCUUCCUGUCCACAUCUCUUCCGGAGAUUUCAUGCCCAAUGCUGAUGCUGGAGAUCGGUUUAUAAUGUAGCAGGCUGUAUGAGCGGCCUCUGCCCAAAAAUCUCUAGUUAAUCCAGAACUAGAUAGCAUAGAUCUGACUCUCUCAAUUAGUGUGCGGUUCAUGCGUUCUGCCACACCAUUCUGUUGAGGUGUACCGACUGUGGUUCUGUGUCUAACAAUGCCCAAUGAUUUGCAAAAGUCAUCAAACUCAGUUGAACCAAAUUCUAAUCCAUUGUCAGUUCGGAAGGUUUUCAACUUUCUAUCAGUAUGCCUCUCGACCAUAGCCUUCCACCUCUUGAAUGUGUCAUAACACAUCACUCUUAUUUCUGAUAGUAUAUAUCCAGAAUUUGCGGGAGUAGUCAUCAAUAAAAGUGAGUAAAUACCUAGAUCCACCCUUGGAUGUAAUUGGGGCAGGCCCCCAUAGGUCAAAAUGAAUAUAAUCUAAUAUACCAGCUGUCAUGUGCACGCCUGUAGAAAAGCUGACCCUGUGUUGUUUUCCGAACACACAAUGCUCACAGAAUCCAAGUGCACCAACCUUCUGACCACUUAGCAAACCACGUCUGCUCAACUCCUGUAAACCUUUAUUUGAGAUGUGGCCCAAUCUCUGAUGCCACAGGUGUGUCAGCUGCUCAAUAGAAGACUGUACUGCUGAAGCCUGUUCAACUAUUGUACUACCAUCCAAAUAGUAAAGGGUCCCACACAAUUUUUCUUUCAAUAAAGUCAAUACUCCUUUAUUGAUAGUUAUUGAUCCUCUACCCCAUCUGCCCUCAAAACCUGCACUAUCGAAAGCAUGUACUGAGAGAAGGUUUCUUUUUAGUUGAGGAACAUAUCUGACAUCGUCCAAAAUCACCACAGUGCUUGCAUUAGAUUUAAUUUGAACUGUACCAACACCUUCCACUUUGCCAAUGCCAUCAUCUCCAAGAAGAAUGGUGCCCCCCUCACAUGAUCUAAAAGAAGAGAACCAUUCCCUAUGGGAUGUCAUGUGGAAAGAUGCUCCAGAGUCCACAAUCCAAGUAUCAGGAUGACUAACACUGCAAGCAGCUGUAAAUACUGCAUCAUUAUCAUUACUAUUGUGACCUGCGAUGAAACUGCAACUGUUGCCAAAUCUGAGAUGGUUCCUUUAUCCUUUGUUCCCUCUCUUUCUUAGAAUGUAGGAGUCUACAUUCUGAUUUCCAGUGGCCUGACUUCUUACAAUAGUGACAAACACAUGGUCUUUUGGACCUAGACUUUGAUCUGGUUUUGGAUUUGCUUCUACCUUGUCCACCUUUCUUCUGUUCAUCUCUACCUCUAACUAUAAGUCCUUGAGCUGGAGUCUGAACCUGAUGCUGUAGCUGUAAUUUCAAUCUAAGCUCAUUGGAUAACAAAGUAGCUUCUACCUCUUGAAGACUUAUUGUCUCUUUUCCAUAGAGCAUAGUAGUAGUAAUAUGCUCAAAGGACUUAGGCAAUGAGUAGAUCAGAAUCAAAGACUUAUCUUCUUCAUCAACUUCAACACCAAUAUUUGCUAAAUCAAGCAGAAGCUUAUUAUACUCAUCCAAGUGAUCUUUGAGUGAAGCCCCUUCUGCCAUACGAAAUGUGUGCAACUUUUUUCUCAAAUACAGUCUAUUAGUAAGGGAUUUUGCCAUAUAUAGACUCUCCAAUUUUUUCCAUACUCCCUUAGCUGUAUCAAGAUCCACAACAUUGCGUAGGACUUUAUCACUCAAGCCCAAAAACAGAGUCCCGAGUGCUCUCUCAUUAAUCUCUUCUUUGACAGCCUCCUUAUCUUCUGGAAUUGCAUCCAUACCCUUGAGGGCCUUUGUUACACCCUCUUUAACCAACAAGUAUUUCAUCCUUACCUUCCAUAGUGAGAAGUUUCCUGUGCCAUCAAAUACAGCCACUUCAUACCUUAUAGUAGUGGAAUGAUAAAUAAAAGCCGAAUCAUUAGCCCUAGAUGAAUUUUUUUUGCCCGACAGUAGCUAUAGCUCUGAUACCAAUUGUUGGGAUUACUAGGCACAAAAUUGAAUCUAUCCGGCUUACCAAUUAAUAGUUAUUCUCAUUCAAGCAUUUCAUCAAACACAUCACAGGCAUAAAUAGAUAAGCACAAAGAGUCAAGAUUUACGUGGUUCGGCAGCAAGUGCCUACAUCCACGGAGAGGAGCAAUCCACUAUGUCAAUCGUCCUAAUAGGGUACAAACAAAACUACAUAAAAGCCCAAAAUAUGGACUGCCAAAUGAUCACAAGAGGAAACAAUAAUAAACAAAAUAUAAGGCAAAAUAACCGAUCGGACCAACCCUUCUGCAGCCACAAUGAUAGAUCAAAAGUGUAGUAUGCAAAGCAACCUUUCUACGGCUCCAAUGGUAGAUCAAAUGAAUAUCAAAAGUCUUACCUUCCUUUAUUUCAUAUACUGUGAACAGCAAAGAAGAAAGGGGCUCACGAAAACAAGAAGCUACAAAGAGGAGUCACGGCUGAAGAAGGGAAGAAGGAAGAAGGCCUCCAGCGAGCGGUAGAUCAAAAGAACACAAGCCUGUUGUUGCCGGAAGACCGAGAGCGCACGAGAGGAUGAAAAAAGGAUGGAGUGCGGCGGCUGGAUCCUCCUUUCACCCAAAAACAAAAAACCCUUUUCACCUCUCACGAAUAAGAGAAUAGGCUACCUUAUAUAUAUAAUGGGAUGUCAAUCUUGCAAAUGAGUCCCUCUCAAAACUACUAUUUGGAGCAAAGUCCAAAAUAAUCAACAGCUUGUGAAGAAGUCUUGCUGGAAUCCCUAGGCUCCGACCUCAUUGUCCAAUCAAGGUGUAAGCUCCGAGCUUUGCAAUAGAAGGCAUCGCAAUAUGAGCCCUCUAGGUCCGAGGCUCGGCAUGAGAAGGUCAGCUGCAGGAACACUUUGGAGGCAUAGGAGUCAAGCCAAGGUCCCAGCUCCGAGGCAAUGAAGCUAAGAUCAAAGGCCUCCAAAGCCAAGCAGGCCGACCUAGUGAACAUUGGGCCUCUCAUAGAUGACCCCAUGAUUACCGAUGCCCUCCGCAUUAUGAGCUCCCCCUUCAAGACUCCUCUGAAGGGGGUGAUGCAAGCCUCUGAGCUUAGACUGCUCAUGACUCACUCAUCCAUGAUAGUAAGUGCUAGUCUCCUUUGCUUUUCUCAUGCUUUAAAUAUUUUUGGGUUUGAGGCAAUCUAAUUAUCAUCUUGCAGGCCACAUCUGGCAUCAGAGCCCUUUGAGACCACCUCCAAAGUGUGGGUCUUCACCUGGAUGAGGCCUUCACCGAGAAGGAGGUGGGAAACAAGGAGGCUGAAGAGUCUAGAAAAGGGACUAAUGGGACCAUGAAGAGAGCCAAGGAAGCUGCUAGAGUGGCAGAAGAGGUGGAGGAGUGGUGAGAGCUGCAAAAGGCCCGGGCUAUAGAUGCCAAGCAGAUGUUGAAGGAGCAAGAACUCCAUAUUGGGCAUCUCAAGUAUGACAUCAGCUCCCUAGUGAGGCACUUGGCAUCCACCGAUGAGAGGAUCAAAGCCCUGAAAUCCAAGGUGGUAAACAAGGGCAAGAAAGCCAUCCUCGUGUACAAGAUCUCGAAGGUGUUCAUGGAUGAGCUCAAGCAGGCUGGGAACAAGUCAUACCUAGUAUGCUUCGAGUAUUAUUAUGAACAAACCAGGAUCCUCUUCUCAAGUGUGGAUCUCAUUCUCCUAGACUCCUAUUGCGAUCUUGCCUCCCUGAGCAGGAGUUGCAGUAGCACACCUUUAUCGAAGUUCUAUCGGAUGUCCGGAAGCCCACUGCCAUAGGAGCCAUAAUCAUUGGCAAAUCUAUAGCCAUAAUUCCAUGGCCGAGGAGCUUAUUGUUUGGGUGCCAAUCACUAAGAGUCCACCGGACAAGGAGCUCGUCAUCGUGGUAUCAGUUCCCAAGGAGCCUAUUGCACCCAAAAAAAAUCAAAGAGUCGGCAUUAGAGCCCAUCGCUAAAGUCAACUGAAGCUGUUUGCUCCUCCUCCUUCUUUCUCUUCAGCCAUGCUUGAUGAAUUGGUCGAGGUUGUCAUGCUAGAUGAGCUUCUCAAUUUCAUCCUUUAGCUACUGACACUUUUUUGGAUCAUGUUUGUGGUCACGGUGGAAAAAAUAGAACUUAUUCAAGUCUCUCCUAGAAGGAUUUGAUUUCAUCCUCUCCGGCCAUUGAACGUACCUCUCCCCCUUGAUACUCAUAGAAAUAUUGCUUCGUGAAGUAUUCAGGAGGGUAUAAUUCUUGUAUCUCCAAGGGGGGUCCUCAGACAUGGUGGGGGCUCUUUGCCCUCCAAAGUCCUCUUCUUCCCAUGAUGGGUCUUCUCAUCUCUUCCUCAUGUUCUCUGCUUGAUUGUCACCCGAUCUCAUAGUCUCCUUAGUAUUGAUGCAUUUCUCUGCUCGUGGAAGAAGCCUGGUGAAGUCCUUAGGAGGCCUCUUGGAGAGAGAAAAAUUAAGUCGGGAGUUUCUCAGACUGUUCAUCAAGAUGGUAAUAGCUGCAGCUUGGUUAAGAUCACAAACUUCCAAUACCUCGAAAUUGAAGGCUCAUGGCGGGUCUCAUCCUUCCUCUACUUAAUACUCAUCAAGGCGGUAAAGGACUUCUAGUUGCUAUAGCUAUUGAUGAAGUAGCUCACAAAUCUUUGACUCAGCUGAUCAAAUGAGCUAAUCGAGCAUGGCUGAAGGUUGAAAUACCAUGCUUGAACUGCUCUCUUCAAUGUGGUAACAAAGGCACCAAACAUGAUGGCAUCGGAAACACUGUGUAACAGCAUAAGAGCCUUGAAAGACUCCAGAUAGUCAACAUGAUCCAUCAUCCCAUCCUACGAUUCUACCUUGGGCAUCUUGAACCUUGGAGGAAGGGGUUUAGCCAUGAUUUGCUUGGUGAAGUCCGCUACAUUACAAAGGAUAGGCUCAUUUGGACUUCUUACUUUCUUCUCCUUUACUUUCUCCAUGACCUAUGCCAAGAACUCGUUCAUCUCAUCUGGCUAGCAGGUUAAAUUAGCUUUCUGCCUUCUUUGAGACCAUCGCUCUCUUCCGCAAGUGAAUGAGUCUUGCCCUAGGCUGGAAUUCCCCUCAAACUCCUUUAAUUUAUUCUCCGAGCAUGAGCUUUCUCAGCCAUUUUUAGGGGGCUAGUAGCGGUAAGGCCGAUCAUCCCUCUGGCUAGGACCUAACUGCUGAUUUGAUUGGUCUUUAAAGGGCUCUGCUAAUUGGAUUUUCUUCUCUAAGACUAGGCCCCUGACCAGACUGGUCAAAGCCUGAACAUGCUAUUGAAGCUGGUCAAAUUAUUCCAUGGUCACCAACAUUCUAGCAGACAGUUGAGGCGGUGGAGUCGACAACCAUGAUUGAGGAAGGUGGGAACCUCUCAAGGGGUCCUUCCCUAGAGAACCUUGAGAUUUGAUUAGAGAUAUUGCAAUCUACUUCUUCCUUCUAAAUGGCAUGGCUUCUCGUUCAAGUUUCCCGCAAGCAAUGCCAAUCUACUAUCGUCGAUCCUAGGAUGCUGAAACAGACCACAUCCCUAGACCGACAAGAUAAUAGAUGAGGGUAAGAGAUUGCUAGAUUGGCUCUGGUCGGGCCCUCUAAUGGAUAUGUUAGAGAGGGUUUAACAUAAGAAUGAAGGAGGAAAGAAUAGAGGAACAGAGUCUUCCCUAGCUUAGGUAAUUUUUUUGUUUAGGUUUUGUUACCUUUUGCAGAGAGCCUUUAGACCUAUUAAUAAAUAGGUUUCCAAAUCUUUUGGUGUCGUAUCCCAACAAGCUUAGGAUCAUGCUGCAACAAAUUGCUAAUGUGGCGUAACAACAUUGGAGACGUGCUGUAAUAACCUAGCACAUGGUCGAAUCAUGCAUGCCUUUAAGAUAGAUCGACCGAGCUGCUUCUUCCACAAGAGGAUCUACCUGUCUCAGAACAGUAGCCAAGGUCACUAAGCUAGGCUGAGAGGUACCAGCCUUAGAGGUUGGCUACUUCUGAUCUGCUCGACCUAGCCUUCAAGUUAGUCUGAGGAGGCCCAACUAGAAUUCUUUGAAAAAUUUCUGAAUGUAGUUGAAUGGUUAUAUAAGUCAUAAGCCAGACAAAUCUUACUAUGCCAUGUCAUUGUGUUUGUGAAAUUCCACAUCAUUUUCAUUAUCGAAUAAUAUUUCACUUUGUAUACAAUCUAAAGUAAGGAACAUUGACAAAAUACAAGAUUCAAUCAUUGGAGAGACAACAAACAAUUUGGAGAAAACUAGAUAAAUUAACAGUGAUUGAGAAAAAUUGACUGGCCUAAAACAAUACAAGUGAUGGUAAAAAUAUUGUCAAUACUUCAUUAGUUCAAAUGUUUAACUAACUAUUUUGCUAUAAAAUGCAGAAAAGACUAAUGCUAGUUCAAAUGUUUAGCAAAGGAGACUAAUGCAAAUAAAUUGAUUUAGGAUAUUGUUGACUUAUUUUAGUACUCUUCUAUAAUUAUGGAGUUACGAUUAUUUUUGAAAUGAAUUGCAGUAGUAACUAUUUAAUUUUAUUUGAACUUUUGGAUAGGUUUUAGGGAUUAAUUUCCAGGGUUAGUUUCCAAAUUCUAAGUCUUAUAUAUGAGCUGAACUGUGGAUAGGGUUAAAGAUAAAAGAAUUUAAGUUUUGGAAACACAAAAAACAAAUAUUAAAUAUAAAAAUAUAAAUAAAUUACAAAAAAUAAAUUAUUAAUAAGAAUAAAGUAAAAAUAGCGUAUAAAAAUUUAAAAUAAUAUAGAUAAAACAAAAUAUAAGUAAUCAUUCAAAUAAGUAAAAGUAGACGGUGUAGUAAUUGAUAGAGCAUGCAAGAGGACUUGGGGCAUGGGAAAAAAGAGGGGAUAAUGAAAACGUAAGAGAGAUGGAGCAAAGGAAGAAAUGUGGGGAGGGAAAUAUGAGGAAGAGGGAUGACAUGAGGAGAGAUAGAAAGAGGACACGAGGAGAAGGGAGGGGCGAGGAGAUGGGAGUGGUGAGGAGAGAUAGAGAGAGCAAAGAUGGCAAGCUACUCAAUUAUAAUAACCUAAAUUGAAAAUCAUAUUUUUUUUUAAUUUGGAAACUUUUAACUUGCCGUAAUUAUUUGACUCUAGUAAUUUAAAAAUAUUGCACUCGCUAAUAUUCUACUCGGUGAUGUUUAAACUGUAUUUGAGAUUGUUUCAAUUUUUCUUCAUUUCGAAAUUUUUAAAUUUUCGCUACUAAUCUGAAUAUAUUAAUUUAGAAAUAUUCUGCUUUCAAAUAUUCUACUUAAUUUUGAUUAAAUUAAAUCUGAAAUAGUUUCAGUUUUUAUUUAGUAAUUUUCUACUCACUAACUAUAUUAAUUUUAUUUAUUUGAAAAAAUUCUUAUUUUUAUUUGGAUAUUUUCUACUCAUCAUAAUUAUCUGAUUAUGAAUUUGAAAUAGUUUCAAAUUUUCUUUGUUUGAAAAAUAUUAAAUUUUCUACUCAACAUAAAUAUCUGACUAUAGUAAACUCAAAAUAUUCUACUCACAUAUUUUUUUUACUCAAACAUGAUUAACUUAAAUUUGAAAUAAAUUUUAACUUUAUUUCUUUGAAAAAUUGGUACUUUGCACUAUUUAAUUUCAUAAAUGUCUAACUAUACUAAAUUGAAAGCAUUCUACUUGCAUAUAUUUUACUUAAAUUCAAUUGGCUUAAAUUUGAAAUAAUUUUAAUUUUUGUUUAUUUGAAAAUUUUCUACUUUGUAACCAUAUUAAUUUUGUUUAUUUGGAAAUUUUUUAACUUUUUAUUUGGUUAUUUUGUACUCACCAUAAUUAUUAAUUAGGUGGGAUAUUUUCUAUAUAUAACCAUUUCUCUUUUUUUUGUACACAUAUAUACUCAAUUCUCUUUAAAAUCCCAAUUCGAACUACAUGAACUUUUUAUAUAAAAGGAAAAGGAGGAAAAAACAAAAGAGUCGCCAAAACCAUGUUUGCCUAAAUCUAAACAAAUACUUGCAAUUGGAGGUCAUUCCUUGUUCCUUUUUUAUUUCUUGAGGAACUUUAAAACCCCUUUAUUUCUUUUAAACAAAGAAAGAGAAUAGUUAUACCCUGCGAUGAAUUCAGCUACAGAGUCCUCUAAAUGCAGGCACGGUCCUUGAUUUGGAGCUUCAGAAUCAAGCCCACCAUUCUCCUAUUUCUAAUCAAUUCUCGCCUAGUACUCUUACUGCUCAUUCCACAAAAGUUGAGAAAGAUCCUGGCCUCAAAGCACCUCACGGGGGCUAGGCUUGGACAGCCUGUCCACAAUUACCAGGCCGUCCGAAAACAAUAGAAAGGUAGGCUCCUAGGAUUAGCUAUUCGCAGCCUGCACAACCGAGACUUGUCACGUGAAUCCCCUUUCUUUUGUUUUUCUUUAAAAGAGGGUAUAUCAGGCAGUCUUUGGCAGUAUAAACAAGAUUGUGGACUAUGAUAGAGAAAGUGUGGCCAGUAUUAUUUGAGUUUCUUGCCCUUAUAUAAAUAUCCAAAAUCUACUUAUUAUAUUAUAUAGCAGAUAUAGAACUAAAAAUUACGCCUGCAUGGAUCAUUACAUAUUUUCUCCAUUUAAAUUCUAAAAUUGUCUCAUGGCUAAGGAUCUAAAUUCAUUCAAAUUUAAUUAUAAGCACCAUAAUCUAUCCGUGGUCAACUCUAAUGAAUCUAUGCUAGUGUCUUCUAUCUACUUCACAUAGACCAUAGACAAAUCUACUCUAAUAUCAUUUAUCAUAACCUAAAAUCUUAUUUAAAAAAGCAAGCCGAAGGAUAUUAUUUAAAUUUUUUUACUCUGUAUGAGCAUUCAAGAUCUAUCCAAUCCGAUGCAUAUUAUUGAACUAAACAUGUAGAAUUACUUUUCUAAUGAUCAAAAAUUCAUAUUUUCAUUUUGAUGUCGCCCUUAUUAGUAAGAUAACUUCAACUUUUUGAAUUCUGCUUCUCUCUCCCACUUUAUCCGUAAGGUAAACGCAACGUUUGUAACGUUUUACGUCAACAAGAACCCUAGUAGAGGCAGCAAACCUCGCCGGUCCUAACGCAAAAGCUUCCUGUCAGGAACAAAACCAAAUAGCCUAAUUCGCGGAUCAACCCAUGAGAAUAUCACUGUUUCAUUGAUUUUGUAAGUUAAAUUCUAGGCAACUUGAGAGGCUAUUAUACGGCAAGAAAACUAUAUCUCGGUUUACUUCCGCCAAGGUGGGAAGCCAGAACACGCUAGGUUUCUCCAUAUCUCAGUCAUCAAGAUAUCAAAGCAACAAGUAAUUUAGUAAAGACAAACUUAUCUAUUACAAGAUUGACGGCUUGUAUGGGACUGCCUAAAUGCGGUUAGAUUGGCUGGAUGGAGGGGGAGUCCCUUCCUCCUCUCUGGCUCCCUUCCUCAUCUGACUCAUUACUCCAAUUCUAUCAUCCGAUCUAGCCAAACAGAUCCUAAGAGCCUAUUUGGAUAUUUUUAUAUAAAUAUCUCAUAAGAACUGUGCCUUUUUACCCAUCCAGCUUGCAUCUAUUAAGGUUUCGCUGAAAGUUCUGUGGAUUUUGUUCUUCCCAUACUAUUUAGAUCGGAAGGUAUUGGGUUGAUACGGGACACACACUCAAAUAAUCUAUCCAAUGCAUGAAUCCAGUAAUAAAUUUAGUCCGACUCUAUUAGAUUAUCCAAAAAGGCUCAAAAUAGCAUUUUGAAAUUCCAAUGCAUGAAUUUUUUCUAGAAUAAAGAAUCCAAUAAGAGACUAAGAUGUGUUAAUUGGCCUGCAUACUAAUAUUGUAUCAGCUAGAGAUAUAAGUGUAUCAGUUUAAAAGAAUCAUUAUUAUGUUAUCCAAUAUAAGUUCCAUUAAAUUUCUCAUCCAAGUAACAAAACCUAUCGGCUGCACAUUUUCAUGCUGACAUUCAGGCUCACGGUACAGAACUUACAUGGACAAUCACAGUAUAUGCAGGAUAUUGUUUCAGACAUUUUCCAGUGGAAAUGGAAUCCUAUGUCACGGUCUUAAGGGAUGUGGAUAGAAUCACAAGAAACCAAAGCACUAGAAACUCAUACGGCACAACUUUGCCUCCCCAAAUAUUAUUCUAAUGCUUGAUCUUGGCCACAUCUCAAUAAACCCCAGCCCAAUUCUCUGCUUGUGAAUCACCACUUGCCCUCUUCAAGUUUCAUCCACUAAUACCCCUCGCUGAGCUUCUCUAAUUAAAUACGAGCCAACCUUUCCCCCCGUUGUUCCUAUCUGUCUCUACGCCGCUUGUUAACUAAUUAGUCUUCUUCAACUACAAUAGUACAAUGCAAGUCACAGGCCGUUUUCUUUGGAGAGUAAAUACUACCAUGCCAAACAUGAGCUCCUUUGCGUCACGUCUCGUCUAAGCUCGUGACUUCUGUCUCCCAAAAACCCCGAAAAAAACGUCUAGGCUCGUGAUUUCUCCACACAUCCGUCCGUGACUUGCUACUACCAAACAAAACGUACCGCGGUGAAGAAGGCGACGAGGCAAGAGAGUCGGAUAAAAUCUGCUCCAAAUUCUAAAUCUCGUCCUCAAAUUACGGCUUACAAACUACGCCAAGAACGGCAUUUUAUAUGGGUGAUGUCUAUUAGAUUCUAUGAUAUGAUAUAAGAUGGACAUGUCAUCGUUGAGGCCACAUGAAGCAAUAAUCUGAAUGGAAAUCCAUUGACCUAAAGGCAGUAGCGUAUCCCAUAAAAUGGUUUUUUUUUUUUGGUCAAGUAUAUCAUACAAUAUGUGUACGAAUACAUCCAAUAAAAUCAGAAAACAAAAAAUCAAGUGUCUGAGGCAAUUCUCCCUCUCCGGCAAACAAAGUGCUCUCAGAACGACUAGCCACAUAGGCGGCCAUCCAAUCCGUAGCUCUGUUGGCCUCUCUAAAGACAUGUUUGGUCUGGAAGGCCCCACCAUUCCUUACCAUCAUCCAAAUGUCUCGAAGCAGAGGGUGGUCCAAGCCCACACCCCUCGGACCUCCUUGUAUCCAACUGAUCAUCGUGGCUGAGUCACCCUUCAAGAUGACCGGGAUGGUCUGUAGCACUCGUCGUGCAUGUUGAAGACAUGCCCAAGUAGCCUUCAACUCCGCCCCGAGGAUCGAAAUGUCGAAUAGCUGGUAGCCGCCCACUACCACCACCCUGGAGUUCGAGUCUCGGAUGACAAAACCCGCAGCUCUCCUUGUGCCUCCAUCCAAAACAGACCCGUGGACUGGGUUUGGUUUCAAAAGUUGGAUCAUUUAAUCUAUAAAGUUGUAUCCAGCUAGGCCUACCUUAAUUGGCCUACAAAAGACCAACUAAUAUCAUGGAUGGUAGGCAAGAAAAUAACCCAAGUAGUUGCAACUUAUGAAAAAUAUCUUCUUCUUUUUUUGAGUCAUUAAGACAGAUUAAUCCUUUGAUACAAAUAUUGCCAAAUUCUCAUUAAGAAAUGUUGAUAAUUUUGUAUAGCAUAUAUAAUUCUUGUAUAAAAUAUUAAAGCACAAGAUUCAUCUAAUUUGCAAAGGUAUUCGAUUUGCAUGAGAAUGACACCAUAUAUGGAAACAUUUUAGUCAUCGCCAUUCUGGAUUUUUCUCAACAGAAAAGUUAAAAAUUUAAUCAUCUAUAUAAGACUUGUCAAUUAGUUUUUAUAAUUGAUCUUUCUUAGAAAGAAUGAUGUGCAAGAUAGAAACUAUCCAUAUAAAGUUGAUUCUGUAACUUGAUCACUAUCCUCUUAUGUUGGAUUGGUCGUAGGCUGAUUCUUUGGUUUGCAAACAAAUGACUGGGCUCUCCUUUUUCGACUUCAUCAGUAGAAAACUUUAUGAUAUCAGACUAAAGUUUGUUCAACCUCUAGAAUUAAUGCAUGGCUAGACUCCUUAAUAAUUAAGCUGAGAUCUAUCAUAUUCGCCUUGUAUACUAUCAGUAAUAUAUGAUUAAUUCUCCAAUAUGGACAGAAAGCAAUUUCACCUUAAGAUACGAAGAAGAUACCAUCAACGUCAGAUGCCUCUUUGAGUUUUUCUCAUCACAUCCCUUCAUUGUACUUAGUUAUAAGUAGGGAUAUGAUGAAAUAUUCCUUUCCUUGUAAAGAUUCAUCAUAUCUGAAUCUCAGAAUGAACAUCUAAUGAAGGAUAUUCUAGAGGUUGCGUAUGGCAAAAUCUAAAAGGGUGUAAUCUAACUAAAAGAAAAGAUAGUAUGCGUUCUGGCUAAAGAGGCCUUAGAGUCAAAACAAUUCUUUCCUCCCCCGACCUUGAUUCUAAUGUCCGGUUUUCCGGAGCUGAUUCAGUGAACAGCAUGAGCCAGUCCCGAAACCCAUGCCGUUUGUUCCGUGGCUUCCAACGACUAACGGUCAUCUCACCCCAGCAUCUCUCCCUCUUCCUCCACUAUAAAUUUGCAACCCCAAACCAUCAAUUCCCCACACCAACUCAGCCCUAUCCAAUCUCCAUUUUCUAGUGGUGUCAAGUAAUAUAUUACACACCACCACUAAUGAAGAUGGAGCUCAAUAUCAUAUGCUUAUUGUUCAUCUCACUCUGUUUGAUCUUUCCCUCUGCCUCUGCCACCACCUGGAAUUAUGCCGAUGCUCUCGAGAAGUCAAUCCUCUUCUUCGAGGGGCAGCGGUCGGGGAAACUGCCCGCCAACCAGCGUCUGACAUGGAGAGGGCACUCGGGCUUGUCCGACGGCUCCACUGACCAUGUAUAGGCUCCACAAAAUGUUCAAUAAAGUUGGAGCUUCUCCUACUCACAUAAUGUGAAGUUGUUAUUGUUAACAUCCAUGCAUGCAUUGGCCUUUCAGGUGGACUUGGUUGGUGGCUACUACGACGCCGGCGACAACGUGAAGUUUGGCCUGCCAAUGGCAUUCACCACCACAAUGCUGGCAUGGAGUGUUAUCGAGUUCGGGGACCAGAUGGGUAGACAAAUUAACUAUGCCAGGGAUGCAGUCCGUUGGGGCGCAGAUUACCUCCUUAAAGCAGCCACUGCAGCUCCUGACACUCUCUAUGUUCAGGUGAUCAACAAGAACAGCAUCUCAACCAACACAGCUAAUGGCAUGAACAUGACUGUCUUAUAUCAUCUUGCAUUACAGGUCUCAGACCCGAACCAGGAUCAUCACUGCUGGGAGAGGCCUGAAGACAUGGACACGGCUCGCAAUGCGUACAAGGUAACGAGCCAGAAUCCCGGUUCAGAUGUCGCGGCGGAGACUGCUGCAGCAUUAGCUGCAGCUUCCACUGUUUUCCGACGCACCGACCCUGCUUACUCUGCCAAGUUGCUUCAAACUGCUGCGAAAGUAACGGCACUCCCUCAGCUAUAUAAUUCGGAUGCAGUUCAUAUGUUAUGAUUAAUACAAGAGGGUGAUUCUUUUGAUGCAGGUCUUUGAUUUUGCCAACCGGUACAGGGGAAAGUACAGUGAUUCUCUUAGCUCGGUUGUCUGCCCAUUCUACUGCUCCUACUCUGGUUAUGAUGUAAGGGGUUCAAACUACUAGUAAAUCUUAGCUUUAGCUAGCCUUUUCGAAUAAUUUUGAUAACUGAUAAAAAUUUGGGAUCAGGAUGAGCUCCUGUGGGGAGCAUCAUGGCUUUAUCUGGCAUCAAGGAAUGCUUCAUUCCUGUCAUAUGUAAGUUCGAAUGGCAAUACAUUGGGAGCAGGAGAUGAUACGUACUCUUUCAGUUGGGACGACAAGCGACCCGGCACCAAAGUUCUUCUGUCCCAGGUGUCGUAGCUCUCACCGUACUCUCCCAUCUCUCCGAGAAGAGUAGCAUGAAUGCUUUAUUUUUUAUCUCUACAGGGCUUCUUGCGGAACAGGAUUCAACAGCUAGAGCUAUACAAAGUUCAUUCAGACAACUAUAUUUGUUCUCUGGUCCCAGGAGCAAAUGGUUUCCAAGCCCAAUAUACUCCAGGUCAAUCUUUUUUUCGGCACUCCUCUUCGAUGACCUUGUUCUUCCGAACAGAACUAACUUCGCUACUUUCACCAACAGGGGGGCUGCUCUACAAGGAAGGAGAGAGCAACCUGCAGUAUGUCACAUCUGCUACCUUUCUUCUUCUCACCUAUGCCAAGUACCUCAACUCCAAUGGGGGAUCAGUCUCGUGUGGGACUUCAAAGAUCACUGCCCCUCAACUUACCUCACUAGCUAAGAAACAGGUACAUCGGAAGAACAGUAACAAUAUCUCAAGCUAGCAUUCUUUUUUCUCCCAACACUAGAGAGCAUAUCUGAAUUACUGAAAAUUCUUGAGUUAUUGUUGAUUUGUUCCUUGGCUAUGUGCCUCUCAAAUACUUGUGAUAAAUUAAUCUAACAAGAGUUCUUUAAUUACUCACAGAUUUUACAAUUAUAUAUGAAUUAUUAACAAGUAAUUCAAGAAAUAUUUAUCAAUUAUAAAUUAAGAACGCUUUUGUGCUUUUGCUGCUGCUGAUGUUGUUUUUACUAAGUAAUAUCAGUUUGUAUCAACAACAGGCACCAAGUGAUAGGUGAUUCCCCCAUUAAUUAGCUUAAGUUAAAAAUAGUAUUUUAGUUAUCAAUUGUCUUCACAUUUUUUAAAUAUAUUCACUGAAGUCUCUUACUCGUCUUUGCUUCAGCCACUCAAUGAGGAACUGCCGGCCUUAAAAACCUCUCUGAUACUUGUUUUCCAGUGAAUGAAUACAUUCACAUUUUGUUAAUCUUAUAUUGUUUUAAAAUAAGAUUUAACAGUAUUAAACCAUGUCAAAUACUUCAUUACUCGUCAUCAUUCAAAUUUCUUUUCAACUUUUGACAUCUAUUUUUUUUUUUCCAAAUUUUCAAUCGUAGUCUCUGAAUAUUCCUUUCCAAAUGCUAUACUUGUCACCGUGCAUGAGUCUGAUUUUUUCGAGGAUUUUCUGAAACACCAGGUUGAUUACAUAUUGGGCCAGAAUCCGGCAAAGAUGUCGUAUAUGGUUGGAUUUGGGGAGCGGUAUCCACUGCAUGUUCACCAUCGUGGCUCUUCAAUUCCCUCUGUGCAUGCCCACCCGGGCCAUGUCUCUUGCAACGACGGAUUUCAGUACUUGUAUUCAGGCUCUCCGAAUCCAAACGUUCUUGUAGGAGCUGUGCUUGGUGGCCCGGAUGGCAACGAUGGCUUCUCCGAUGACCGGAACAACUACCAGCAGACCGAACCGGCUACUUACAUCAAUGCCCCCAUGGUUGGUGCUCUAGCUUUCUUUGCUGGGACGCAGAAUGUGGCCUGAGUUAUAGCAUGGCUCCCAAGCAACAGAGCGGCCAUUGUAGAAUUUGUGAGGCAUGGUGAAGUGGGAUGUGAGAAUCCUGGACUCCCCUGACCAUGUACAAGUAUUGGAAUAUUUCGGUUUAGCAUUUCUUUGCUGUUUGGUCACUCGAGUGGACUAAGAUGCCUAUUAUUCUAUCCCCAACAUCUUCCCUUUCCGUAUAUGCAUGGGUGUGUAUUUGCAUGCAGCAAGAUCAAACAUAACAAGUAGAAAAUAAUAAAAUGAUAAGCAAAUUCAUUAUUUUUCUUUUUUUCUUUCUUUUUUUUGUGAAGUUAAGAAAAGCAAAGUAAAACGUAUAAAAUAAAAGAAAUCGUAGUUAUCAUCAAAAAAAAAAAAACGGAGUAAGAGAGAAAAUCAGAAAGAUUCUUUAUAUGUAUACCCUCAUAAAUUAUUUUUUCACAUACAUAUAUCUAAAAUUACAUGCAUAUCCUCAAAAAUUUACUAUUUUUAUAUGUACCUUUAUAAAUUAUAUUUUUGCAUGUAUAAAAGGUUGGCAUGCAAAGAGAAACAAUUUAUAUGAGAACACAUGCAAAUAGUAAAUUUGUGAGGAUAGAUAUGCAAAAAAAAAAAAUACUUUAUAAGCAUACGCUGUAAAUAGAUAUUUAUAAAGUUAUACACGCAACCAACCUGAGAAAGAAAAACAAAACAAGCAAAUACUCUUGAACCCCAUUACAACAUACUAUUUACUCUGAUCUUCCAGAGAACGGCUUUGAAAGUAGUAGCCUCCUCCUGUAUUAUUUGUUGAGAUGUCAUCAGCAUCAAAAAUAGAUGAUUUAACCAUUCUCCUACAUAUUCGUUAGGAAUUUUAUGAAACUCCAGAGAUAUUUGAUUGACAUCAGCUGUCUUACACUUCACAAUCAAUUCACCUUGUAAGCCAUGAAUAGUUCAUGAAAAUUUCUUGAACAUGACGAAUUCUUGCAUAAUUGGUGAAUAAUAUGUUGAAGAAAGAAUCAUUUUGGUAAAGAAAAAUCUUCGAGUAAAUGGAGAGUUUUCCCUACAAUAUUCGACAUAAGUUUUGCAUAACAUCUAGAACAGCUAAUUCACAAUAAAGCUCAUUCAGAGACAACGCUGGAUCACGAAAUAUAACGCAGUAUGAAUAAUCCUUUAUUUACACAUAGCAAGAUGGUGAUGGACCUUUUCUUUUAAAAAAAAUCCAAGGGUAUCCAACUCAACUUUUCUUGAAGGAAUGAAAAGUAUAAUUAUAAUAAAGGAAUGAAAAUAGGGAAUGAAAAGUAUAUGUUGUCAUAAAGGAAAAACGAAAGUGUAAAUAGCUUCCUCAUAAGGGAGAAAAAACGUAAAAACUAACAUAUAUCUACACCAAAAUAAUAAACCAAACAGAAUUCACUUGCCUACAUUGCCGUUUAUCCCAAACUAAAAUAAUGAAAAAAAGAUUAGCCUCUCUUGAGUUUAAAAGGGAUUGUCCUCAUCCAAUCCUACAGAAGAAGAGUAACUAAAUCUUCUAGAAAAGAUAGAGAGAUGAACUCUUUUUUCGAAACAAAGACUUUAUUUUGAUGUCCUUCAUGUUCUAAGACGCCAUUAUCAGCAAUGUGUUCCACUCUGCAUCCAAAGUGGAGCUAAUUCUCCUUGCUUUUUAAAAUAAUCCAACAAGUUCUGAGACUUACAGGACAUCCUCUUACAGAGUUAAAUGCAUAACAAUGAAACUAGCACAAGCAAAUAAGCUGGAAUUGCCAUAACAGGCGCACAAAGGCUUAUUAUUGGAACUAGAAUUUCUUAUUAAAAAAAUACAUAUCAAAUUUCUCUCCUUGUCCUUAUAAUAAUAAUAAUAAUAAUAAUAAGGGAAAGGGAGAAAAAAAUAGAUGAAUGGAACAACAGACUAGAAAACUUAGCUGAAUGUUGAUUUUUGUUCUAACUCAUUUCUUUACAUGUACGUGAUAGCCCAAUAUCUCUUGGGCUAGUGGGUCAGCCUGAAGAGGCUGGGGCCUUGGGCUUUGAACGUGCGUUGCACGUGAGGGGCGGGGAGGAAGAGACUGGUUGGGAGUCUUCUCUCCGUUCGCGCCCGAAACCGAGAGCUCUAUGCGAUCCAAAAAGGAUCUCCGGAUUACCCUGUUGGCCUUGUCGAACUAAGGUAAAGAGCAAGCUGCCCUUCUUCUUUUCUUUUUUUGGGUCUUCUAGUCGCGGUCGCCGCUUUAUUUCGGUCGACGAGCUGCCGGAUGGCAUGAAGCAAGGUAGUCCCUAUAUCUUCUUCUUCCUUGGUUUUUGCUGACCACCGCUGGCCGCGGCUCUUGCUCGGGGCUGUCGCCAUCGCCGUCGACGCUACCGGGGGCUAUUGUAAUCUACCACCAUCCAUUGGCUCCUCCAUGGCAUAGGUUGAGAAAGAGAGGGAGGGAGAUGUCUCCCCUAUUUUGAGAAAGAGAAGAAAGCUUUCUCUCUCUUCUCUUUCCUCUCUCUCUUGCUUUCUCCUCUCUCAAACCUCUCUCUCUCUAGUUGGGCCGAAGAGAGAAUCAGGGGUAGAUCACCGGUGAAUCCCAGUAGAGAGUUCUAGGUAGUUGAUUUUAGUUGAUGGUUUUUAUUUUAAUAAUGCAUUCGGUACUAUAGGGAACGAUCAGUGGGACAGGAGAACGUCGAGCAGGUUCUUGACACCGGUUUCCAUGGAAGGUAUGGAUUAAGUUGAGUUUGUCAGAAAUAUAGAUAAAAAUUCCUGUUCCUUAAUUACCUUUAUUUAUAUAUAAUUAUUUUGUGCACCAAUGAUUGUGCUUUAUAUGGUAUAUGAUGAUUGCGUAGUAUAUACUCAAUUGUUAAGUGUAUAGGGAUCUUUUAUGGAUGAAUGUAUCAUGUAUUACUAAUUUUGAUAUGUGUGGACUUGGUUAUUUGUGUGUAUCGAAUUUUGUGAAAGAGUGUGAUGUUUAGUUAUAUUCAGCAUGUUAUAGAUUGUAAAUCUGCAUGAUUGGUUGUGGUGGACUAGCCACAUUAUUGAUGCCUCACCAUAGACCAGAAAUGUGGUACUGUUGAUGCCUGUCACAGACAAAAAAUAUGGUACUGUUGAUUUUCCACAUGAGCAGAAAAUGUGGUACUGUUGAUGCCCCACCACGGGCCAGAAACAUGGUUAUUAUAGUCCAAAACUGAGAACCUAGAUGCUACCGAAUUCAAUAUAAGCUAUUUUAAGAAAACUAUUUGAUGUGAUUUGUUGAAUUUUAAAGAUGUGUUACAUGCUCAUUUUGCAAUUAUACUAAUUUAUGGCAUGAAAUUUACAUCAAAUUAUUUAUUACUUUUCUUGUUUAUUAUUAUAAAAUGUGACUAUGUGGAAAUCUUACUGGGCUAGAAAAGCUCAUAUCUAUCUCUUUCUUUUUUCUAAAGACACAUGGUACUUAGUUAUGGACGGGUGGGGCAUGGAGUACGAGCUUAAGAGUGAGUUAGUUUACUCUUUGAUGUUGAUGAACAUCUAAAAAUUAGUGUAAUUGAACAACUUGGAUAUUUGUUCACAAUGGAUUUAUUUAGUUGAAUUAAUUGGUUAUUAAUUGUUGAUUUAAAAUUGUGAAAUUAUUGGAAUUUAUUUAUUUUAGACCUUGCAUAAUCUCUAAGCAUCGUUCUAGGAUUCAUGUGGCCAUAUUACAUAGUCAACCCAGAUGACGAGGUUGAGGCAUCACAUUAUAAUUGUCUAAUUAUAGUACUAAAUUACUUCUUUUUAUUUAUUUAUUACUUUAUUUUCUUUUUGACUUGCUAUAGGUCCAUGAUAACAACAAAAUAAGGGAUAGGAUGAUAGACCAAAAGAGAAGGAUCAUCUAAAUAAAAAUUAAAAUUGUCACGCCUCCAACCCGAGUUCACAAACCAGAGGUCAUAACAACCGCCACAUACUCAUAGGAAACCCUCCCUACAAGCAUGUAGGGCAUCUCAACAUGAUCUCAUAAUAUGCAGUGGAACAUUUUAAAUAAUAAUGUACAAACUUUAUUUUAAUAAAUAGCUCAAUAUUUAAAUGUCUCACGAUUCAAACAAUAUUCUAGGAUAGUACAUCAAUUUAAAUAAAAUCUGUUCUAAGAUAAUUUAUGCCAAAGUUCUGCUAGUCGUUCUCCCAUAUUAAAAACUUCGAUCAGGAUAGUUCCUGAAUCAGUUAAAAAAAAAUCGUAUAAUGAGCUAGACAGGCUAGUAAGUAAUGAUCACUUUAACUAAACAAAAUCAUGCUAUCAAAUAGAUAAUAAUUUACAAAAAAUAAGCAUAUAUAUAAUACUAAGAUAUAAAUCAAAUCUUUCUUAAAAUAUUAAAUUCUGUUUAUGGAUUCAAAUUCUUUCAAAUAUUCAAAUCAUCAUAUCAAUCCUAAGCUAUGACCACAUCAUCCUGUGGCAAGGUCAUAACACCGACUAAUCUUCUUGCGGUGAGUUGCGCAUCAUCUUGCAACAAAAUUCUUCAGGACCACUAGUCCUCUAGCGGUAUAUCACUAAUCUUCUUAGACACAAUCUUCAGGACAAAUCAUGUGCCAACGUAUUAGCCCCCAUUGGUGGGGUCCUCAACAUAGCUAGAUCGAAAUUUAAAUAGUUCUAGGUUUCAUAUUCUAGUUCUAAAAUUAUAAGGUAUCAAAAUCAAUCAAUCAAAUCCUUAAUAAGAUUAUAUAUCGUCAUAAUUUUCUAUAUAAUAAUAUACUAUCCAACAAAUUCAUGCAUCAUGAAUAAUACCACUAAGAAUCAUAAAUAUAAUAAUUUAAUGAUUGUUGAUAAAUUUAGAAAAAAUAAAAUAUUACUUACUUUGCGAACGCAAUCCAACUAACAUAUCCAAUUAAUUCUGAAAAUCCUUCUUAGGGCCUUAUAUCCAAAAAUUAUACUUUUCAUUAAAAUUUCAUCAUAAUUAUAAAAACCUUAAAUUCCAAUACCUUCACAGGGUUGACCAAGCGAGCGGGAGUGCCCAACACCCCAAUCGGUCCAAUCAAAGUUAAAUACAUCAAAUCAUGCUCGAACUAGAACACAGAUGGUUCAAUAAAGAUCAGGGCGAUCAAAUCAAACAGUGUUUGGUUGGGGUAAGGUGGGGGCUGACACGCCGCCAACAACCCUGGAUCAGGAUCCUUCACCAAAGUCAAUUCAAAUUCACUGUGAAGAGUCCCUACUGGAUCCAACUAUCUUAGAAAAAGUAGAGAGAGAAAGUAGAGAGAGAAAGUAUAGGUAUAAAAAAAAUAAGAGACAAGAAAAGGGAGAAAAAAGAAGAGAGAGAAAAAAGAACAAGAUUCUUUCACCCUCUAACCAAGAAAGAGGAAGAAAGAGGAUGGUUGCAGGUGGUGCCUAGGGUUAGAGACCCAAGGCCAGCCAGCAAGCGGCCGGCAGCACCAAAUCCACCAAAAAAGGGGUUUUGACCCCUUUAACCACAUAAAUCAAGCAUCCCAAUGGCAAAAGCUCCGGCCAUGGUCUCCUUCCACAGCGAGGGAUUGGAGGAAGAGCCCAGUGAUGAGCAUCGGUGGCUGAAACAGCCAAAUUCAAGAAAGAUAUGGGUCGAUCUACUAAAAUAGAGAUAGAUAGGGUGUUUCCCUUCUCGACCAAAUUCUAGUGAUCACCGACAGAAAUCAAAGAUUCAAAUAGUCCUGAAGAAGGGGAUGAGUAAAUCGAAGAUGGCCGAGCCCUUAGUUGGUUUCUGGCAGUAUUCAAAUGCGGUGGCGGCGCAAAUGACAAUUGGUGUUUGGAGAGAAAAAAAUGACAAAAUCUCUGACAAAAAGCUUCGAUCGAGGUUGGACCUCCGGUGGGAAGAUGGGGAGGAUGGGGAGGAGCUUAAAUAGAUCGAAGACUAGGAUUUCCGACGAAGAACUUCGAUCACGGUUGGACCUCCAGUGGGGGGAUAGGGAGGAUGAGGAGGAGCUUAAAUAAACCAGAGACUAGGAAGCCCUAUUCUUCGAUAGAGUCCGAGGAGGAGGAGAACUCAUCCUCCUCUGCCCUGCUCAACUAUGGCUCUGCCUUGGUUCUGGUUCGGACUGGCCUUCGGGCUGCGUCUCAAAGCUGGGCCCAAUAAGGCUAGGCCUCACAUUCUCCCCUCCUUUAAAAAUUUCAUCCUCGAUUUUUUUUUCAGCUUUCAAAAAGUUAGAGACACAUAAUUCUAAUCUCAUCCUCAAUAUCAAUACAACUUCAUCAUUAGAUCUUAUCAGAAGAAUAAAGUCCAUAUCUCCAAUCUUGAUUCUUUCUAUAGAUGAUAUAAAUCAAACUUCUCUCUUAUAAACGAAAAAAAAUGUCUUAAUUCCGAAUAAGAACAAGAAGUUUCUUUGUCAAAAUAUCAACUACUCUUGAUUAAUCGAUCUAUCACAAGAUUAGAUCAUAAUCAACUCUAAGCCGCCCCUAGUAAAAUAUUCAUCAAGGUUGAUAGAUAACCUCAGCCUCUUUCAAUCAAAUAGAGGAUUGAUAUUAAAUUGAAGAAGUACAAGCUUUAGAUUUAGGAGGAAAAAGGUCUACACCAAAAUAUUCCAUAUCCAAGAUCAAAAAUCAAUGAUCCAUUAAUUCUAGUCUCAAGAUGCUAAGAAUUUCAUGAGCACGAUAUACAAUUGGAGAACCUAAGAUAGUGCAUCGACAUCCAAAAAUUAGAAUAUUUUUCUUUCGUUUCUCAAAGAAAUCUUACCACACAAGAAAACAGAUCAAGUCUUUUGUUAUUAAAAUUUACCAAAUCAAAGAGAUAAUACUUUUGACCAACUUAAAAUAAUUCAGACCACUACAUUUUUGCUGCGCACUCUAAUUCAAACCACCAAAAUUCUUUGGAUUCACUAAUAUUUUUUUUAUCAAAAUACUACUAUGUAUUAUGAACUAAAGAAAUCCAAAAUUUUAAUUUCCAAGUAAAGCCCAACAAGAAACUUUGGAUUCUCGUCCCCUAAUUUACCUCCAACACAUCCAUCUAGAUUAACCCUCCAGUUAAUUGAUACAUUCAAAACCAUUAUAUAGUCUAGUUACUAUAAUUCAAAAUGAAUUGAAUCUUAAUUCUCUUAUCAACUCAAUUAGACAAUUUCAAAUCAAACUACUACAAGUAAAACAACCAAAAAAAAAUUCUCAAUGCUCUACCAAAUUAGAAGACCUUAAAUCAAUAGAUAUGAGUAAAAUCAACUCAGUCAUCUCACCUAGAGUUUUCUUCAUUAAGAUAUUUAGCAUUUAUCAAAAUCUUCUAUGAUAAUCAUGCAAGCCUCAAAAAAUCAAAUUCUUUAUGCAAAACUAGAUUUCAUUAGCAACCUCAAAAACAUUGGCAAAAGAUCUCUAGAUCAACCUAUAAGCCCAAACUUUGAGUUAAAGUUUAUUACACACCACAUAGUCUCCGUAGACAUAAAUAAGAUCUAUUAUUUGGAUCUAAAGAUGGUGAUAAAAAUUUUUAAUAAUUUCACCAAGAUGAAUACUUUAUGAUCUCAAAUAAAAUCAAUUCUUUAAUAAAAAAAUAAAAUUUUUACAGUAUCUCCAAGCAUAUUUUCUUUCUACAUGCUAGUUUCAUUCAUAAUCUAUAUACAAAUUCAAACCUUGAAGAAUAUUCCAAUCGGGUACCAUAAAAAUCUUUCAUGGUCCUAAAUCUUAAAUAACUUAUUAUAAAUAAAUCCUACCGUGCCACUAAAAAAUUAAUUUCAAAAUUAAGUAAUAUCAUAAUAUACCUCCAUAUUGAUUUUUGAGUUUUCAAAGUUCACUUAAAUAACAAAUAAUCACAAUGCAUGAUAUUAUUCUAUGGUCAAUCCUUUUGCACUUAAUUUAGAUACAAAUCUAACUAAUUAUAACUUGAUUCCAAGAUUGUCCAACCUUACAUAAUGUUUCAAACCUUAUAAAUAAUUUUAUCAUAAAUUCCUCGUAAGCUUUUCAUACAUGAUUACAAAGGUUUAACAGAAAAUCUUUAAAGCACCUUACAAUACAAUCAACAUGGAUGUACGUCCCAAUAUUCCUAGUGUCUACCUACUUACAGUCAUCUUAUGCAAAUUUUCUUAUCUUAGAAUUUAUCCACUUAUGCUUUGAUACCAUAAUAAUUGUCAUGCCCCUAACAUGAGUUCACAAACCGAAGGUUGUGACAGCCGCCACAUACUCAUAAGCAACAUUCUCCACAACCAUGCAAGACAUCUUAACAUGAUUUCAUAAAUAUGCAGCAGAACAAUUUAAAUAAUAAUGUGCAAACUUUAUUUCAAUAACUAACUCAACAUUUAAAUAUCUACGAUUCUAACAAUAUUCUAGGAUAAUAAAUCAAUUUUAAUCAACUCUAUUCUAAGAUAAUUUGUGCCAAAGUUUUGCUAGUUGCUCUUCUAUAUUGAAAACCUCGAUUAUUCUAGUUCUCUGAAUCCGUAAAAAAUAAAAAAUUGUAUAAUGAGCUAAACAGCCCAGUAAGCAAUGAUCACUUUAACUAAACAAAAGCAGACAAUCAAAUAGAUAAUAAUUUGCAGAAAAUAAACAUAUAUACAGUAUUAAUAUACGAAUCAAAUCUUUCUUAAACUACUAAAUUUUGUUCAUAGAUACAAAUUCUUUCAAAUAUUCAAAUCAUCUUAUUGAUUCUGAGCUAUAAGCGCAUCAUCGUGUGGCACGAUCAUAGCACCGACUAAUUUUCUUACGGUGAGUUGCGCAUCAUUUUGCAACAAAGUCCUUCAGGAUGGCUGGUCUACUGGCGGUACGUCACUAAUUAUCUUAGACCCAACCUUUAGAACAAAUCACGCGCCAACAUAUUAACCCCUAUUGGCGGGGUCCUCAACAUAGCCAAGUUGAAAUUCAAAUAAUUCUAAGUUUCAUAUUCUAGUUCUAAAAUUAUGAGGUAUCAAAAUUAAUCAAUCAAAUCCAUAAUAAAAUCAUAUAUCGUCAUAAUUUUUUAAAAUAAUAUAUUAUAUAAUAAUAUACUAUCCAUCAAAUUUAUGCAUCAUGAACAAUACCACUCAAAGUCAUAAAUAUAAUAAUUUAAUAAUUGCUGAUAAAUUUAGAAAAAAUAAAAUAUUAGUUAUCUUGCGAAUGCAAUUUAACUAACAUAUUUAAUUAAUUCUAAAAAUUCUUCUCAGAGCCUAAUAUCCAAAGAUUAUACUUUUCAUCAAAAUUUCAUCAUAAUUAUAAAAACCUUAAAUUCCAACACUCUCACAGGGCUUGCUCAGCGAAAGUGCCCAACACUUUGGUCAAUCUAAUCAAAGCGAAACUCAGAAUCAUGCUCCGACUAUAGCAUAGAUGAUUUAAUAAAAAUCGAAGCGAUCAAAUCUAACAUUGUUUGGCAUGAGGCAGGGUGGAAGCAGAGACAUCGUCCGAUGACUCUAGAUUCGGAUCCUUAACCAUGGUCAAUUCAAAAUCACGAUGAAGAGUCCCUACUGAAUUCAACUACCAUGAGAGAGAGUAAAGAAAGAAAGUCUAAGUAGAGAGAGAAAAAUAAGAGAGAGAAAGUAUGGAGAGAGAGAAGNNNNNNNNNNNNNNNNNNNNGAGAAAGUAUGGGAAAGAGAGAGAAAAAGAACAAGCUUCUCUCUCUAACCAAGAAAGAGAAAGAAAGAGGGUGGAUGCAAGUGGUGCCCCAGGUCAGGGACCCACUGCCGGCCACCAUGCGGCCGGCGGCGACUAGCGGCUGGCAGCACCAAAUCCACUAAAAUAGGAGCUCCGACCCCUUUAACUGCGGAAGUCAAGCAUCCUAAUAGGCGGAGCUCCGGCCAUGGUUUUCUGCGACUACGGUGGAUUGGAGGAAGAGCCCAACGAUGAGCACCAACGGCCGAAACAGCCGAAUUCAAAAAAAACAUAGGUUGAUCUACCGAAACAGAGGAAAAUAGGGCAUUGCCCUUCUCAACCAAAUUCUAGUGAUCACCGACGGAAAUCGAAGAUUCAAAUAGUCCGGAAGAAGGAGGAGAUGAGUAAAUCGAAGAUGGUCGUGCCCUUACCUGGUUUCCACCAGCAUUCAGAUGUGGCGGCAGCGCAAAUGGCAAUCGGUGUUUGGAGAGAAAAAACAACAAAAUCUUUAGCGAAGAGCUUCGGCAAGCCAUGUUUUGGUUCUGCCCUGCUCAACUAGGGCUCUACCCUAGUUUUGGUUCGGACGGGCCUUCAGGCCGCAUUCGGAAGUUGGGUUAGGCCAACAGGCCGGUCCAAUAAGGCUAGCCCUCACAAAAAUAGUUUAGAUUUAUCAAGAAAAAAAAAGGAUUAACCAGUUUAGAAAUGAAUUUUAUAUUUUCUUUUUUCCCUCAAGCCAUGAGCAUUGUUAUUAAGAAAAAAAAAUGGCGUACUUGUAGAUCUUGGCAAAUAUAUUGCAUGCAAUAAGCAGCGUAUGACAGUGGUGGCCAUGCUAGCAUAGUCACAUAACAGCAUGUGAAGGCUCAUGCAAUGUACUAUUAGAGGACAGAAUAUUUCUGCAGCGACAUGUUACGACGACUGUUAUAUAUGAGAAUAAGAGUAGCUCGUCGAAAUAUUUCUAGCAACACUGAUGAAGGUUGGAUUUGAAACAUACUUUAUUGGCAGGUCAAGUUUCCACAUUCUCAUGUAAUGCAUACCACGUGAUUAAUUAAAAUGUGAAGGAUGGAAGGUAUGAAUUCUUUUUUCCAGCAACUAUAAUGGCACAGUGAUUCAAGUGGACCACGGUUUUUGAAAGGUGCCUCUAACCCUCUGUUCUUCCAUUAUGAAAUUUAAUAAGAACAUCGCACAUUGUUGCAUGAAGAUCCAGGCCAUGCUGCUAGUUCCUUCCAGUUCAGAAUGUGUUUAGCGGGAGCCAUCAUCAAGACAAUGAGCGCCCAAAAACUUCAAUUUAGAGCUCCAGGGCGAGGAUAUGCAUGAAGAAGAAUAGAGAAUGUAGAACCCAGUACAUCUGUUUCAGUGGACGAAGGAAAACCCAAGUUCUGAGUAGGAUGCAAACUCAAGUUUUCUUUACGAUGUUUAAAUAGCAAUGCAGAAUUUUGUUUGACAUGGUUUUGCUAAAGUUUAUCUAUAGCUUAUUAGUGAGACUGCACCGGACAUUUCAAAUUAAUACGUUAAGCAUAACCAAUUUCAUAGGAAGAUGGAACAAGAAGGAUGCGAACAAGGAGUACAAUGAGCUCAAUAUCUCUCUAUUCUACAAUUAAAUUAAACCUCACAAGUGCCCCUAUCCACGAGGCUCCAGUUUCACAUUUCAAUUCUUAGAAAACUCUUUUCCACUGCCCCACCAUAGGUUAAACAAUUAAUUAGUGUAUGGCUAUUAACAUGAGCAAGAUUCAACACUUGAGGAACAAAAGUGACAACGCUGACAAGUUUUACCUUAUCUUCCACCUAGUGACAUCUUAUCUUUGGUGAUUCAUAAAAUUUAACCAUUCUAUUUAUAUCCAUAUUUACACCCAUACAAUCAAAAUCCAUAAAAAUAGAUAUAAAUUUUUGCAUCUGUAUUCAUCAAACAAAAGUGGAAAUGGGUAUAGCGAUACACAAACUGGUAUCCCACCCUACCCAGCCCUCCUUCAGACCCUACAUGUAACAUUUAGAUCCACUGCCAAAGAGAGAGGGUUGUUCCAGUUACAUCCCUCCCGCUAUUCUCGUUCUGGGUGAUCUAACAGGUCCACAGAAAGGAAACAAUCAUUACAUCACUAGCAAGGCUCGGUCCAUAUUAAGGACAGAAAUUAAGAGGAUCCAAAUAUCCUUACAUGCUAACAAGGCUCAUCCAUAUUACGAUUAAUAGACCCAAUGUUUGUUGCUAUAUCUUUCAAGAUCAUGCCAUCCCUUGAUUUAUGGAAACACAAAAACACUAAUCUCAAAAGGAGAAACCGGUACAACAAUCUUGUGCUCGUAUUGAUCAGAUGGUAGGCACAGAACCCUGAUGAUGCUACAUGUCCUCAUUUGUAAAACUUCGGUCUAUCUGGAGCAAUAGCCAAAAUGGGUAGCUGGUGAAAAGAUUUGCAUAGUGAGCGAUGUGCAAGCUUCAACACCAGAUCAGUAAGGGCGGUAUCGGCGCCCACGGUUCCCAUCACUGCCCCUAGCUCCACCCUCACCUGAGCCGCCACUGUGAUCACUCCUCCGAUGAGAGGAUGGAGAAGCCUGUGCACCAGGCUGCUGCCUGAACAAUUUAUCAUGUAAAACAAGACAUACAUAAAUGAAAGAACAUCAGGUGCCACAACAGCAUAAAAAUGCCCCAUAUACUAGAUGAAUUCCAUGUACUCACAUAACAUAACCAAGUCGACCAUCAGGUAGCACCAUUGGCACCAUUCUCAUCCCAGAUGGCAUAGGUCCUCUACCAUAUAUCACUGGCUGCAUACAGUACAAAUAUCAAACAACGUCAACUAGCAAUUUGCAGAAUCUCAUUAAUUUCAUAUAAGAGUUAGCAGUGAAGAAAGAAAGAUGGCGGAACUACAAUGCAUGCGCAAUCUCAAAUGCAGUGGUAAGGGAAAUCCAACCUGGCCAAAUCCUGUUGCACCAUAUCCACCACCGUAGGCCCCAUAUGGGGAAUAUGGAAGGAAACUUGGAAGAAGCCCAGGUUUGGAUGAAUUUGAAGCAUAAUCAGACUUUUUGUCGACCUGAGGUUUCGCCAGGGAAACAUCCAAAACAUGCCCUGUGGUUUAAAUUAAUCUCUUAGUCAUGAAAAUUGUCCUAAAAGUUACAAUCAUCACCAAAAGUUUUACAGCAAACAGAGCAGAAAUCAUUCAACUGGCUGUUCUCGCUCAGAGUAAAUUUGUUAACUUUAUAAGACCAAUAUAAUUAUGGUUCUACAUGUUAAAUGGAAUCUAGAUGCCUUCCAACAUACCAGACCCAGCAAAAGAUGACUUGCACGUUCAUAUAGCCCUCAUCUAUAUCAAUAAACAAAUAAACUCAAAUAUAAAAUAUAUUGGUUGCUAAAAAAGAUGUAUCCUCAGGUAUAGCAGGAACUGCACUGAUGCUACUUGCAUUUGUUCAGAAGGUAAAAGCUUCAAGAAAACUUACCAUCAAUUUCAUAUUUUUCUGUUCCUUUAACUGCCUUCAACGCGCUAGAUCUCUCAGCAAAAUGAAUGAAUCCAAAAUCUCGUUUUUGUCCAGCUUUAGCAGGAGGCAGAACAACUUUUGUGACCUCUCCAUGGUGUCCAAAAAGUUCCUUCAACUUUUCUGGUGUGACAUUCUCAGGCAAAUUUUUCAGAUAUAAAGCCUUCACCUGCAAGAAAUUCAAAGGACCAUAAUAAGGUUUGUAUUUUAAUGCAGCUAAAGCUUCAAAGGUACUUAGAAUGUACAUAUCCAAUCCAAUAUCUGAAACAUGAAACCACUGGAUCCAUAAGACUAUAUGCAAGACUGGUGCAAAGAACUCAGAAAGCAAAUUAAGGAGAAGCAACUAUAUAACUGAAUUGUCAAGCAGUUCUAUGGCACGACACUAUGAGACCUCAUAAACUUCUCAUUUUGUGGGUUACUGUUAAAGUAAUUAUUACUACCAUAUACUCAUAUCAUACUUCUGCCAGUGUGACAAUAUUUAUUUUCUAACAGUUACUACAAGAAAUUAAUAGUCAUUCCAUGGUUUAAAGUUUCAUCUAAAACGGAUAGUUUCGACCAAACUUAACCAAAAAUUCCAGUUUUGGUCAGUUUCGGUCAGUAUUGGUUGAGUUUCGACUGAAACUAACCGACAAUAUUGUUAAGAUCAGGAUUGGAUCGUAUAUGAAAAAUAAUGGAUCAUGGAUAGUUAAGUUUUUAAGGUUUUUCCUGAGAAAAAUGAAAAAUAGACUCUGCUUGACUACAUGAACAGAUCUGUCCCUUGCUGUUGUGCUUUUAUCUCAUGCGCAGGCCUCAUUCAGUUAAUGAGAUUAAUUAGGAGCUUAGAAUCACGUGAUGGAUGAGAAUUUGUUGAGGUGUCAUGGAAGCUUUGAAUAAACUUUGAGACAGGAUAUUUCUUAGAGGUGAAUGUUGCUGGAUCAGUUGAAAAGCAGAUUGAUAAGCGUUGCAUGAGAGCUCAUAAGGAUAAGGUGCUAAGGAAGUUAAAAUCCUAGCAUUGUAAAACUUCGUCACUUGAAUUCUGACAUCAUAUUUUAAAAAAGAAAAAUCCAUCGUCAGAUUUGGGCACUGUUUACCUCCUCAUGCGAAAAUAGGGACACCCAUCCUGUUUCAGUAUGUGAACAGCACUCAAAAGGCUGUUUGAAUGGAUUGGAAGAUCCAUGAUUUAGAUCAAUCCAACAUUGGAUCGUUCUAUCUUUCUUUAUUUAGAUCUGUUGGUCCAAUCUGGAUCAAUUUUAUGCAUUUUGAUCCGGAUUGUGGAUUGGACAAUCUUAAGAAAGUUGCUGACCAAAGCUACUGUUUUUGAUCUUUCUAUUGUUUAACACAAGGUAUGCCGUCUCGGUACUCAGCCCAUACCGGUGCCACACUAUUACUAUGUCGAUAUGGUGCGGUGAGGGGCCGGUCAGCAUACUGAGUUUUGAUACGCCCUCCGUACCAUGUACCGAUACCGAACCAGUACGGUACGGUACGGCGAACCUUGGUUUAACAAAUAUACAGUUUAAUGUCUUUAGUUUAGUAUUUUCUAAAAUGUAAAUAUAAUUCAAUAUUCUAUUAGUCAUAGACCCUAUGACAACAAUUGGUAGGUAGAACAAAGUCUGAAGGUUUACACCAUGUACCAUGGAGGGAUACAACUUAUACAGUGGAAUAGGUAUUCUUUGGUGUUUGAUGGAAGAGAUAAGUGCAAGGAAUAAAGUGCUAUGAAUUUUGUGAUAGAUUUGGAUUUUAUCGCAAAGAAAAAAUUGCCCUUCCACUUUUUGCUCAGAUUAAAUAGUUGAUAGGGGCAAAAAGAUAAUUAGAGGGAAUAAGUUUCCCUUAUUCCACCAUAUAACUUCACUUCCUAUUUUGGUGGCAUAAGUUAUACUGUCUUGGCCCAUUAAUACCAACACAUGGUAUAACUCCUAUUACUUGGCCAUUUUUUGUUGUUUGGCAACAUAAAACAAAAUAAGGGCUUUAUUCCGUGGGCUAUUCCACCUAGCAAACAAGACUAAUGAUUUAAUCUAUGUUAUUUUUGGCUAAGCUUUUUUUUAUUAUGAUGUCUAUCCUUAUUAAUUUCAAAGAAUUACAUGUUUAUAUCAUUUUUGCUUUUCUUCAUAGACGAAUUUUUUCAUUUUCAGAAUGAAAUGAUAAUAAUGAAAACAAAAUACUGAAAUAAAAUAGGUUUUUAUUUAGAUGAGUUUUUUCUUGCUUAGAUGGGUUAUUCAAAUGAAAUCAAGUGAAAUAUGCUUAGCUGGAUUUUUCGUUUCUUAAGUGAGUUAUUAAAACGAAAUAAAAUGAAGUAUGGUUAGAGAAAUUUUAGCUAAAUACAAAAAUUAAAGCAAAAACAGAAAAUUCAAAAAGAAGACAAAAAAUAGGAAAAUUAUAGAAAUCAGAUAAAAGUUUAAGGUGGUGAGGAUGUUAAAGUCCUAGCAUUGCAAAACUUCAUCACUUGAGUUCCGACAUUAUAUUUUGAAAAAGAAAAAUCCAUCAUCAGAUUUGGGCAUCGUUUACCUCCUCAUGCGAAAAUAGGGACACCCAUGCUGUUUCAGCAUGUGAACAGCACCCAAAAGGCUGUUUGAAUGGAUCAGACGAUCCACAAUUUGUAUCAAUCCAACAUUGGAUUGUUCUAUCUUGAUUUCGAUCAGUUGGUCCAAUCUGGAUCGAUUUUAUGCAGUUUGAUCUGGAUUGUGGAUUGGACAAUCUUAAGAAUGUUGCUAACCAAAGCUACGGUUUUUGAUCAUUUUAUUGUUGAACAUAUAUAUGUUUAAUGUCUUCUAGUGUUUUCAAAAAUUUGUCAAUAUUAUUUAAUAUUCUAUUAAUCACAGACCCAAAGAUAGCAGUUGGUAGGCGGAAUAAAUUACGAAGGUUUACACCAUGUACCAUGGAUGGAUAGGACACAGAGAGCAGAAUAGGUUUUCUUAGGCAUUUGGUUGGAGAGAUAAGUACAAGGGAAUAGAAGGCAAUGAAUUUGGUGAUAGAUUUGGAUUUCAUCAUAAAGACAAAAUUGCUCUUCCACUUUUUGCUUGAUUAAAGAGUUGAUAGGGGUGAAAAGAUAAUUACUGGGAAUUAGUUUCCCCUACUCCACCAUAUAACUUUAGUUCCUAUUUUUGGGGUAUAAGUUAUAGCGUUUGGGCCUACUUAUACCUGCACAUGGUAUAAGUGGGCUCAAAUGGUUUUAUCUCUUAUUGCUUGUCCUUUUUUGUUGUUUAGCAGCAUAACACAAAGUAAAGGCUUUUGUCCGUGGGUUAUUCAGCCUAGCAAAUAGGCCCUAAUGAUUUAAUUAUUCCGCCA